CCUCCGUCUCGGCUAUGGCGGCUUUGAAUCGCUCGAAUGCGUCCAGCACCCGUUUGUCGCUCGUCCAGUGCUCCGGCCGCGUGCCCAGGUACUCUUCGUCGGAUGAAUGAGUGGAGAGGAUCUCGAUGGUUGUCAUCACCUGCGUCGCUUCGACUUUGGUGGAGAAGGACGAGAGGUAGAAUUUCUCCCCUCUUCGCAGCUGUUUAUAUUCUUCGGUGUCUUCGUCAGGAAUGAGCUUGUGAGCGAUGGUCGGCCUGUUCACUGGGAAUCCAGCGUAUGCAUACUGGCCAAAGUUAACAGCAGCGUGGUGGCACGAUGGGAUCCAAAUCAUGGUGGUGAGUGCCUCGAUCAAGUUUGCUUUUGUGUUCAGGUCUGUCCAUCCAACUUUCUUGUCUGCAUGACCAACAUUCACGAUUUCUUGCCACCAUGCCUGGAGCUCAGUGUCAUCCCUGACUGAAGCAUCGUCCUUGUAGAAAAUGUCUGUGUAGUCCGUCACCCAUUGCUUCAAUGCACUCCAGAGGUUCAGUCCAUCCACUGCGUAAGGAUAGUCUUCAAUGAGGAGGUCUAGGCCGUGUCUGGCUUUCGGAUUUGGAGUAGCCAUUCCCCUGGAAAAAAAUCAAUGCUUGUUUUUCGUUUGGAUAGUUUCAAGCCAGAAAUCCCCUUACCUGGCGAUCAAGUCAGCUGGAAGUCCCUGCUGGUCGAAUCUCCACUGCGAUCCAUAGACGACAGC
RNAcentral lists this long non-coding RNA (730 nucleotides) under Selaginella moellendorffii. RNAcentral describes it as "long non-coding RNA (SMOE_LNC002447)". The record is from RNAcentral. Lineage: Eukaryota; Viridiplantae; Streptophyta; Lycopodiopsida; Selaginellales; Selaginellaceae.